This 450-nucleotide ribosomal RNA is filed under the name uncultured bacterium. RNAcentral's name for it is "partial 16S ribosomal RNA". It matches the Rfam family "Bacterial small subunit ribosomal RNA", at positions 354 to 796 of the family's 1533-position model. The record is from RNAcentral.
GUGGGGAAUCUUCCGCAAUGGACGAAAGUCUGACGGAGCAACGCCGCGUGAACGAUGACGGCCUUCGGGUUGUAAAGUUCUGUUAUACGGGACGAAUGGUACGACGGUCAAUACCCGUCGUAAGUGACGGUACCGUAAGAGAAAGCCACGGCUAACUACGUGCCAGCAGCCGCGGUAAUACGUAGGUGGCAAGCGUUGUCCGGAAUUAUUGGGCGGAAAGGGCGCGCAGGCGGCGUCGUAAGUCGGUCUUAAAAGUGCGGGGCUUAACCCCGUGAGGGGACCGAAACUGCGAUGCUAGAGUAUCGGAGAGGAAAGCGGAAUUCCUAGUGUAGCGGUGAAAUGCGUAGAUAUUAGGAGGAACACCAGUGGCGAAAGCGGCUUUCUGGACGACAACUGACGCUGAGGCGCGAAAGCCAGGGGAGCAAACGGGAUUAGAUACCCCAGUAGUCC